UAUAAUACAAUUAAAUUAGUUUAGUUUUAAUCGAUCGAUAUAUAAUAAUUUUAAAUAUAAAUUUAUUAAGUGAAAUUUUAAAUUUUUUAAAGAUUUUUUUUUGUUGAUGAUUUUAAGAAAUUUUAGAUAAAAACUAGGAUUAGAUACCCUAUUAUUUAAAAUGUAAUUUUAAAAGCUAAAUUAGUAUCAGUUAUGGUCUUGAAAAUUAAAGAUUUUGGCGGUAUUUUAGUCUUUUCAGAGGAACCUGUUCUAUAAUUGAUAAUCCACGAUUUAAUUUACUUUUUUUAAUUAGUUUUCAUAUCGUCGUAGUUUGAAUAUUUUAUAAGAAUUUAAAUAUUCAAGAUUUAUUAUAAUAAAAGAAAUCAGAUCAAGGUGUAGUUUAUAAAAAAGAAGAAAUGGGUUACUAUAAUUAAAAUUUAGGAUAAUUAUUUUUAUAAUGAUUUGAAUAUGGAUUUGAUAGUAAUUUUUAUUAAUUUAUAAAAAUGAUUUUAGCUCUAAAAUUAA
RNAcentral lists this ribosomal RNA (504 nucleotides) under Plagiodera viridipennis. Its description in RNAcentral is "partial 12S ribosomal RNA". Lineage: Eukaryota; Metazoa; Arthropoda; Insecta; Coleoptera; Chrysomelidae. The record is from RNAcentral.